UACGUAGGUGGCAAGCGAUACUCGGAAUUACUGGGCGUAAAGGGCUCGUAGGCGGCCAACUAAGUCAGACGUGAAAUCCCUCGGCUUAACCGGGGAACUGCGUCUGAUACUGGAUGGCUUGAGUUUGGGAGAGGGAUGCGGAAUUCCAGGUGUAGCGGUGAAAUGCGUAGAUAUCUGGAGGAACACCGGUGGCGAAGGCGGCAUCCUGGACCAACACUGACGCUGAGUGAGCGAAAGCCAGGGGAGCAAACGGG
RNAcentral lists this ribosomal RNA (254 nucleotides) under uncultured bacterium. Its description in RNAcentral is "partial 16S ribosomal RNA". It matches the Rfam family "Bacterial small subunit ribosomal RNA", at positions 524 to 776 of the family's 1533-position model. The record is from RNAcentral.